GGCCAGACUCCUACGGGAGGCAGCAGUGGGGAAUAUUGCACAAUGGGCGAAAGCCUGAUGCAGCAACGCCGCGUGAAGGAAGAAGGCCUUCGGGUCGUAAACUUCUGUCCUUGGGGAAGAAGAACUGACGGUACCCAAGGAGGAAGCCCCAGCUAACUACGUGCCAGCAGCCGCGGUAAUACGUAGGGGGCAAGCGUUAUCCGGAUUUACUGGGUGUAAAGGGGGCGCAGACGGCGAUGCAAGCCAGGAGUGAAAGCCCGGGGCCCAACCCCGGGACUGCUCUUGGAACUGCGUGGCUAGAGUGCAGGAGGGGCAGGCGGAAUUCCUGGUGUAGCGGUGAAAUGCGUAGAUAUCAGGAGGAACACCGGUGGCGAAGGCGGCCUGCUGGACUGCAACUGACGUUGAGGCCCGAAAGCGUGGGGAGCAAACAGGAUUAGAUACCCCCGUAC
Molecule: ribosomal RNA, 449 nt
Filed under: uncultured bacterium
Lineage: Bacteria
Description: partial 16S ribosomal RNA
Rfam family: Bacterial small subunit ribosomal RNA
Source: RNAcentral